Molecule: long non-coding RNA, 5757 nt
Organism: Acipenser ruthenus (sterlet)
Lineage: Eukaryota; Metazoa; Chordata; Actinopteri; Acipenseriformes; Acipenseridae
Exons: 4
Source: RefSeq, a predicted model, not a curated record
GCUACCGGGCAGGACGCCACGGAGGGAAGGAAAGACAGGCUAAAGAAAAGGAUAAAGAAGAAGAAAAGAAAAGCAGCGCAAAGCGGGAGAGAGCCCUCAACGCCAUCCCCCGAAUUACACCUAAAGGCUAACAUUUAUUAUUAUUAUUAUUAUUAUUAUUAUUAAUUUUCUUAGCAGACAACUUACAGUUAUCACAAAAUAUACAUAUUUCACAAUGCAGUAAGAGCAGAUAAAAUAUACAAUAACUUCAGUCCUGAUAAGAGCAACUUUAACUAAAAUAUAUCCAUGUACAGGUCGAUAAUCACACUAUAGUAAAAAUACAUAGAAUACUUCCGUCCUAAUAAGAGUAAGUUGAACUAAUUUAUACACAUUUUAAGAAACACAAUAUAUAGUUGUUGUUGUUACUGUAUUUAAACAAUAUGUAGAAUCGCCGAAAUCACAAGCUUACACAAACAUCUCCCGUCCAUAAGUAAUAAACUCGCGCACGUUCACGUUGCAGCAGACGCUGCUCUACAGGAUUGCAAUGACAGAUUACGCGCUUUGCGUCGUGAGAGAGGAAUCACACGCUCCCGCUGGCAGAUAGCAAGGUUUGAUGCGCAGAUCAUCGGGGAAACAUGAAUCCUUGGGAGCACUGAAUUCGUCUUAAAAGUUCUGCUGCAGAAACACAGCUAACCGAGGGACGAGUGAAUUAAGAGAGAGAGAGAGACAUGAACCCAACUCCAAGGAGAAGGAACAGCAAAGAGCCUGCCAGAGGGAAAGCCCAGGAGCAGACAGAGGGGGGCUCGGAGGACUAGGAGGAACUGGAGAGACUGAGGAGGGAAAACAAGGAGCUGGAGGCGAUGUACAAGGAGGAGAAACUGAGGAGAGAGGAGCUUGAAGAGACCCUCCGAGAUCUCAAGCCCCAGGGAAUGGACCCCCAGUUUGAGACUCUAGCCACCCCCACAGCAACGAUAUAUUUCUUUCAAAACGGUGUUCAGAAUUAGUUGUCCCUCUCUAAGCCGGACAUGUCUGGAGUUGUCUGAUUUAAAAAACAAACAAACAAAAACAUUUUGUAUAAAUAUCUACAGUAGGCCUAAACUACUGCUCUCAAUUAGAACUGUUUCCUGUAUCUUGUAUUUGAAUUUACUCUGAAAGGAAACCAAAUUCACAUAUAUUUUUUUUAGUGGAAUGGAAUGUACUUUCUAAACAAUUGUUUUUCUGAGACGUUUAACGGCUCUUAGUCGAAUUUGCUCUCAAACGUGAUUAUUUUCUGUAUUGUUCUCAGUUGAAUUUGCUCCUGUUUGCCGCUGACUUGACUGUAUUUUUAUAACGGCUCUUAUCUGUAAUGUGAUAUUUUGUAACACCUGUAAGUCGCCCUGGAUAAGGGCGUCUGCUAAGAAAUUAAUAAUAAUAAUAAUAAUAAUAAUAAUAAUAAUAAUGCAGUAAAAUCUAAUUAUUACCUGAAGCGCACUUUUUUUUUUUUAUUAGUAACAGUUAACAGAAAACAGAACACUCCCUUCACAGGAAUAAUCAUUUUGAAAUGUACACAGAAAGGUUGACAGUGUGUUUAUUGCAGUUUAUUUUUUUUUGUCGUCUUUUGCUUCCGUUUUUGACAUCCAGUUUUGAAUUUCUUUUUAUCGGUCUAGUUCCAGAGGUUCGGCAGGUUUCGUUUUUGAUGGUUUAAAAUCGUAUAAUUAUAAUUCGGGCGUUAAUGAUAAUAAGAGACGUUAUGAUAACGAGGCUCCAUAAAACGCGCGUCAAAUGAAAGUCUUGCUUGUUGGAAAGUCUGACGGAACUCUUGUAUGAUGUGUGUCGAGAUCAGCCAAUAGCUGUCGGCUUUACGAAGCACUGGGGCGGACCUAGGACUAUAUAAGGAAGGAUAGGACAAUGAUGUCACAAGUGGGCAGAGUUAGUAAACAGUGACGCAAUCCUGGAGCCCGUAGAGCUCUUUCACUGCGCGCUCUCAAUGCUUUUAAAGUAUUCACUCUCGCCCUGGCAAAAUGUUUCUUCACAUAAUCAACAUAAAUAACAGCCAGUCUCUUUAUAAUGACGAUAUUUUGUAUUGUUAUUAAAACAUACCGGUAUAUCCUGGCGCUGCAGCACAGCAUCUCCGCAAUGUAUUCAGUACUGAGUGGGCUCCACAGCAUCUCCGCAAUGUAUUCAGUACUGAGUGGGCUCCACAGCAUCUCCGCAAUGUAUUCAGUACUGAGUGGGCUCCACAGCAUCUCCGCAAUGUAUUCAGUACUGAGUGGGCUCCACAGCAUCUCCGCAAUGUAUUCAGUACUGAGUGGGCUCCACAGCAUCUCCGCAAUGUAUUCAGUACUGAGUGGGCUCCACAGCAUCUCCGCAAUGUAUUCAGUACUGAGUGGGCUCCACAGCAUCUCCGCAAUGUAUUCAGCACUGAGUGGGCUCCACAGCAUCUCCGCAAUGUAUUCAGUACUGAGUGGGCUCCACAAAUGGCGCCUGUAAUUGAUUACCGAACUGCAUCAUGGGAUUGACUGUCCUAUCCUGCUUUAUACAGUCCGAGGUGAGGACACAGAAAGUCUGACAGAGAGUUUAUUGCAGUUUAACGAAGUUACGUAAAACACAGUCCCUGUGCAGCUCCCACUCAGCACAGGUAGAAAUAUUGUGUUCCUGUGAGUCCGCAUUACAGUGUCAAUGAAACGGAUGUGUCGCGGGACAGACCCAGACUAGGGUUUAAAUUCAUAAUACACGGGUUUUAAAAGUGACGUUUGGCACAGAUUGAAAUAUAGAAACAUUACAUUUUACUGGAAAGUACAAAUCUGUGCUCCUCUCGUUAAUGAUCGCGUUGCUAUAGGUUUUGUGAAUGGAGGCUGUUCUGCUGUGAGUAUAUCGGGGUGCUCUGUGCUCCCCUCGUUCAUGAUCGCGUUGCUAUAGGUUUUGUGAAUGAAGGCUGUUCUGCUGUGAGUAUAUCGGGGUGCUCUGUGCUCCCCUCGUUAAUGAUCGCGUUGCUAUAGGUUUUGUGAAUGGAGGCUGUUCUGCUGUGAGUAUAUCGGGGUGCUCUGUGCUCCCCUCGUUAAUGAUCGCGUUGCUAUAGGUUUUGUGAAUGGAGGCUGUUCUGCUGUGAGUAUAUCGGGGUGCUCUGUGCUCCCCUCGUUAAUGAUCGCGUUGCUAUAGGUUUUGUGAAUGGAGGCUGUUCUGCUGUGAGUAUAUCGGGGUGCUCUGUGCUCCCCUCGUUAAUGAUCGCGUUGCUAUAGGUUUUGUGAAUGGAGGCUGUUCUGCUGUGAGUAUAUCGGGGUGCUCUGUGCUCCCCUCGUUAAUGAUCGCGUUGCUAUAGGUUUUGUGAAUGGAGGCUGUUCUGCAGUGAGUAUAUCGGGGCGCUCUGUGCUCCCCUCGUUAAUGAUUUGAGUUUUGUUGCACAGUCGAAACACAGCUAACUGCGGAACGACUGGUUUCGGAGAUACAGACACGGAGAUGACUUCAAGGAGGAGGAAACAAAGAUGUCGCCACAGCUGCAUGGGAACCUCAGCAUUUCCCCGGUUCAUUAUUAAUAGCGGGCUGUCAAGACUUGUCAGCGGGUCGAGCGAGGUGAGAUAAAGACACACACAGGAUUAUUUAAAGUCGUUCGUGACUCGCAUGACUCUGAACAGGUCUGUGUUUCUCUCUCGUCAUGAACCAGCUGCUGCCCAACCCGAGGAACUGCUUUGAAGACAUUUCCUUCCUGUGUCAUGUGACCCGCAGCUCGCUUCAGCUACAGUGAAGAGGAGCGCUUGUGCGAGUCGAUUUUAUACUUCGUAUUGUUGAGGAUAGUGGAUAAUAAAACUAUAUGCAUAAUAAUAAUAAUAAUAAUAAUAAUAAUAAUAAUAACAACACACAUAAAUAUAACACUAAUAAUCAGAGUUGAAAGUCAGCCAGUACGCCCCGGAACUGCGUACCGGCAAAACAUCUUGUCAAGGUACUUCAAUAUUUCAUCUUAUCACAAUGAUAGGCUACAUCAUUUUUUCUUUGUAUUUUCCGUCCUUUUCGCUUCUUCUUCUUCGUUGUUCGGUUAUUAUUGAUGUUUAAGCAAAAUAACUCGACGUCACGCAGGUUCCGGUCAUGUGACUUAUGAUGUCAGAGUAUGCUGACUGCCAAAGGGGCUUCCGCAUACUUGUGAACAUGGAGUCUGCAAAAUAAGGGAGCUUUUGUAAACUGAAAUUUUCUAAAGACACAAACAUACAACUAUUCCACUAUAAUUUGGAAAAACUAUUAUUGUAUUAAAUACAUAAGAACAUAAGAAAGUUUACAAACAAGAGGGGGCCCCAUUCAGCCCAUCUUGCUCGUUUGGUUGUUAGUAGCUUAUUGAUCCCAGAAUCUCAUCAAGCAGCUUCUUGAAGGAUCCCAGGGUGUCAGCUUCAACAACAUUACUGGGGAGUUGGUUCCAGACCCUCACAAUUCUCUGUGUAAAAAAAGUGCCUCCUAUUUUCUGUUCUGAAUGCCCCUUUAUCUAAUCUCCAUUUGUGACCCCUGGUCCUUGUUUCUUUACUGCACAAUACUGUUAUUUUGGUACUGCGUCAGUGACUUGGAGAAAAAGAACGUCUUAUUUAGUUUUUCAGGGCAAAUCGGGUAACCCUAACGACAUGAACAGUGCGAGAAACUCAAGCUCUAAUAUAAAUUUGGUCAGACACCAAAAUCCAAGCAGAACAACUGGACAAAACAUACAAAAAGAUCAUAGUUUUUUUUUCCUAUUAAGUGCUGUUGUAACUGUUAGUAUUAACCUGUAUAUUUAAAGUUCAAAAUGAAUAAUUCAAAAUGAAACAUAAUCUUAAUAGAUAUAAAAUUGUUUAAAAUACAAUGCUCCCAUGGCACUUCAUUAGCAACACAGACGUUUCCAAAAACAAACCCAGCAUUUGAGUAACUGUGAUAACAAGAAGUGGUCGGGAUGAUUUCAAACAGCAUGAAAAGAUAAGGGGCCGGUCUAAAGAAAGAGAAAGAAAAAUGACAUUUGAAGCGCUGUACUCUUUAACAACAGACUUGUUUCAAUUGUGUUGCAGAGGAGAAACACAGCUAACUGAGGAACGAGUGAUUCAGUAGAGAGAGGCAUGGACCCGACUCCAAGGAGAAGAAGAAGGAGUAAAGAGAAUGACCCUCCUGAUAUGUCACAAGAGCCUGCCAGGUACUGAAAGUCUUUUCUUAUUAGUUCACGGUGCGGCGGCAUGCUGAAUAAUACCUUUACUAAGAAGCUGUUCAGGAAUCCAAAUCACUGAGCUGAGUCUCAAGACCAGGGUUAGAGUCCAGACCUCUCUGUGCUUUAUAAUGCUUCCCUAUGCUUUACCAGACCUCUCUGUGCUUUACACUGCUUCCCUAUGCUUUACCAGACCUCUCUGUGCUUUACAAUGCUUCCCUAUGCUUUACCAGACCUCUCUGUGCUUUACAAUGCUUCCCUAUUCUUUACCAGACCUCUCUGUGGUUUACAAUGCUUCCCUGUGCUUUACCAGACCUCCCUGUGCUUUACAAUGCUUCCCUAUGCUUUACCAGACCUCUCUGUGCUUUACAAUGCUUCCCUAUGCUUUACCAGACCUCUCUGCUUUACAAUGCUUCCCUAUGCUUUACCAGACCUCUCUGUGCUUUACAAUGCUUCUCUAUGCUUUACCAGACCUCUCUGUGCUUUACAAUGCUUCCCUAUGCUUUACCAGACCUCUCUGUGCUUUACAAUGCUUCCCUAUGCUUUACCACACCUCUCUGUGCUUUACAAUGCUUCCCUAUGCUUUACCAGACCUCUUCCUCUCUCAUUCCCCUCUUUCUUUCUCAUUCUCAUUUGAAAAACCAUGUUAAUGA